UUUGCUUCCUUUCCAGUAUGACACAUUGAAAGCUGCAUAUGCGUUAUGAGGUACCGAGACUGAGUAUAAGUAUAGAGGAUUGCGUUAGUAGUUCCAGGCACAAGCAAAGCUUCAUCAUUCUUGAGAUCAGUAAAGCUUUUUGGUUCUGUUCUAUAGUUUUAUAACAAUGUUGAGCCCCAAGAGACUCGUUGGCAAGGCAAAGAAAGGGAUCCCCUUGGCAUUAAUGAUGAGAUCCAAUAGCAGUAGUAGAGUGGUUGCUGAGAAGGGGCACUUCGUGGUAUACACUGUGGAGGAUGUGAGGUUCAUGCUGCCUUUGUCAUUCCUCAAGAGCCCAGUACUUCAGGAGCUGCUCAAGGUAUCGGAAGAGGAGUUUGGAUUGCCUGGAGACGCAGCCCCGGUCCUAAUAAUCCGGAGGCCCGGGGCGAAACGAUCAAAAUAGGUGCAGCGUGCAGGAGGUGCUGGUGCAGCCGUGUAUAGAAGUGGCAAAGGCGCAACUUCGCUGUGGCAAAGGAGCAGUUUCGCUGUGACGCUGUCGUGGAGUCGCCGAUAAAAAGGAGAGCAAAUAAAAAUGAAAAAAAAAGAAAACUAAAAGAAAAGUGAUGUAAUUGUAAAAAAAUUUAAGAGAAAACUGAGACGUAGAGAAUAUGAAAAAGGAGAGCGCUCAUGGAAAUUGUAAUUUGUUCGAGCUUGUCUGCUUAUGCCGUUGUGCGACGACGGAAGAGCAGGUGCAAUGGA
This is an RNA transcript of Zingiber officinale, 735 nucleotides long. It is a transcript of the gene named auxin-responsive protein SAUR68-like, with no coding region annotated. The record is from RefSeq and is a predicted model, not a curated record. Lineage: Eukaryota; Viridiplantae; Streptophyta; Magnoliopsida; Zingiberales; Zingiberaceae. The transcript has 2 exons.